Molecule: small nucleolar RNA, 132 nt
Organism: Nycticebus coucang (slow loris)
Lineage: Eukaryota; Metazoa; Chordata; Mammalia; Primates; Lorisidae
Source: RefSeq, a predicted model, not a curated record
GAGCACUAUUCCUUUUAGAAAUCACUCUCAUAUAUGUGAGCAGUGUUAUUUCUUAUGUUCUAUACAAAUAGUUGAAGGUUAAAUAGCAGUAUAAAUAUAAAUAGUAAUGCUGUUAGUCUCCUUCAGACAUGA